UGCAUCAGCCGGGAAUCGAACCCGGGCAGCCCCCGUGGCAGGCGAGCAUUCUACCACUGAACCGCCGAUGG
Molecule: transfer RNA, 71 nt
Filed under: Cordylochernes scorpioides
Lineage: Eukaryota; Metazoa; Arthropoda; Arachnida; Pseudoscorpiones; Chernetidae
Description: tRNA-Gly
Source: RNAcentral